AUUGAACGCUGGCGGCAUGCCUUACACAUGCAAGUCGAACGGCAGCACGGGUGCUUGCACCUGGUGGCGAGUGGCGAACGGGUGAGUAAUACAUCGGAACGUACCUUAUCGUGGGGGAUAACGCAGCGAAAGCUGUGCUAAUACCGCAUACGCCCUGAGGGGGAAAGCGGGGGAUCGCAAGACCUCGCGCGAUUAGAGCGGCCGAUGCCUGAUUAGCUUGUUGGUGGGGUAAAAGCCCACCAAGGCGACGAUCAGUAGCUGGUCUGAGAGGACAUUCAGCCAGACUGGGACUGAGACACGGCCCAGACUCCUACGGGAGGCAGCAGUGGGGAAUUUUGGACAAUGGGGGCAACCCUGAUCCAGCAAUGCCGCGUGAGUGAAGAAGGCCUUCGGGUUGUAAAGCUCUUUUGUCAGGGAAGAAACACCGGCUCUAACACAGGGGGCUAAUGACGGUACCGUAAGAAUAAGCACCGGCUAACUACGUGCCAGCAGCCGCCGUAA
Molecule: ribosomal RNA, 501 nt
Filed under: uncultured bacterium
Lineage: Bacteria
Description: partial 16S ribosomal RNA
Rfam family: Bacterial small subunit ribosomal RNA
Source: RNAcentral